GUAACAAGGUUUCCGUAGGUGAACCUGCGGAAGGAUCAUUAAAUAAUCAAUAAUUUUGGCUUGUCCAUUAUUAUCUAUUUACUGUGAACUGUAUUAUUACUUGACGCUUGAGGGAUGCUCCACUGCUAUAAGGAUAGGCGGUGGGGAUGUUAACCGAGUCAUAGUCAAGCUUAGGCUUGGUAUCCUAUUAUUAUUUACCAAAAGAAUUCAGAAUUAAUAUUGUAACAUAGACCUAAAAAAUCUAUAAAACAACUUUUAACAACGGAUCUCUUGGUUCUCGCAUCGAUGAAGAACGUAGCAAAGUGCGAUAACUAGUGUGAAUUGCAUAUUCAGUGAAUCAUCGAGUCUUUGAACGCAACUUGCGCUCAUUGGUAUUCCAAUGAGCACGCCUGUUUCAGUAUCAAAACAAACCCUCUAUCCAGCAUUUUGUUGAAUAGGAAUACUGAGAGUCUCCUGAUCUAUUCUGAUCUCGAACCUCUUGAAAUGUACAAAGGCCUGAUCUUGUUUAAAUGCCUGAACUUUUUUUUAAUAUAAAGAGAAGCUCUUGCGGUAAACUGUGCUGGGGCCUCCCAAAUAAUACUCUUUUUAAAUUUGAUCUGAAAUCAGGCGGGAUUACCCGCUGAACUUAAGCAUAUCA
This 637-nucleotide unclassified non-coding RNA is filed under the name Mucor circinelloides. RNAcentral describes it as "sequence contains 18S rRNA gene, ITS1, 5.8S rRNA gene, ITS2, 28S rRNA gene". The stretch from base 251 to 403 matches the Rfam family "5.8S ribosomal RNA". The record is from RNAcentral. Lineage: Eukaryota; Fungi; Mucoromycota; Mucoromycetes; Mucorales; Mucoraceae.